This 420-nucleotide ribosomal RNA is filed under the name uncultured bacterium. Its description in RNAcentral is "partial 16S ribosomal RNA". It matches the Rfam family "Bacterial small subunit ribosomal RNA", at positions 361 to 773 of the family's 1533-position model. The record is from RNAcentral.
AUAUUGGACAAUGGGGGAAACCCUGAUCCAGCCAUGCCGCCUGCGUUAAGAAGGUCUUNAGAGUGNANAGUAUUGUACGUUGGGCNGAAGUGUUGUUGGCUAAUAUCCAGUAAUUUCGACGUUACCGACAGACUAAGCAUCGGCUAACUCUGUGCCAGCAGCCGCGGUAAUGCAGAGGGUGCAAGCGUUAAUCGGAAUUACUGGGCUUAACGCGCGCGUAGGUGGUUCAGUAAGAUGGGUGUGAAAUCCCCGGGCUUAACCUGGGAACUGCUUUCAUAACUGCUGAGCUAGAGUACGGUAGAGGGUAGUGGAAUUUCCUGUGUAGCGGUGAAAUGCGUAGAUAUAGGAAGGAACACCAGUGGCGAAGGCGACUACCUGGACUGAUACUGACACUGAGGUGCGAAAGCGUGGGGAGCAAAC